This is a long non-coding RNA of Tigriopus californicus, 364 nucleotides long. RefSeq lists it as uncharacterized. The transcript has 2 exons. Lineage: Eukaryota; Metazoa; Arthropoda; Copepoda; Harpacticoida; Harpacticidae. The record is from RefSeq and is a predicted model, not a curated record.
CUCAUAUCAUACGGAACACUUUUAGUUGAAUUCUGGCUCAUCGUGCUACAAUGAUCAACCUCAUAAAAAUGCAAUGUUCAUGCAACGGACUUGAAUUUGAAAUGGUUAAAUGACGUGUCCAAAAAGGGACAAAUAAUCGAAACAACUCCAUUGGAAUGCAUGAACUUUGCCAAUCACGUACUCUCUGGUGACUGAAGGAAGCUUUCAAAUGUGAACAUCAACCGACCCAACUAGAUGAUGAGCAGUUUGGUCUCUGAAUUGGAGAAUGUAUAGUGCAUGAUGGAGUGGCUACUAUACGAUGGACUUAAUCGAACUCCUCCCCUUUUCGGCUGGGCAAAUGCUAAUAAACCAUUUCAUAAUCUUA